This 468-nucleotide ribosomal RNA is filed under the name uncultured bacterium. Its description in RNAcentral is "partial 16S ribosomal RNA". It matches the Rfam family "Bacterial small subunit ribosomal RNA", at positions 28 to 507 of the family's 1533-position model. The record is from RNAcentral.
GACGAACGCUGGCGGCGUGCUUAACACAUGCAAGUCGAACGGAAAGGCCCUGCUUUUGUGGGGUGCUCGAGUGGCGAACGGGUGAGUAACACGUGAGUAACCUGCCCUUGACUUUGGGAUAACUUCAGGAAACUGGGGCUAAUACCGGAUAGGAGCUCCUGCUGCAUGGUGGGGGUUGGAAAGUUUCGGCGGUUGGGGAUGGACUCGCGGCUUAUCAGCUUGUUGGUGGGGUAGUGGCUUACCAAGGCUUUGACGGGUAGCCGGCCUGAGAGGGUGACCGGCGACAAUGGGACUGAGAGACGGCGCAGACUCCUACGGGAGGCAGCAGUGGGGAAUAUUGCACAAUGGGCGGAAGCCUGAUGCAGCAACGCCGCGUGCGGGAUGACGGCCUUCGGGUUGUAAACCGCUUUCGCCUGUGACGAAGCGUGAGUGACGGUAAUGGGUAAAGAAGCACCGGCUAACUACGUG